RNAcentral lists this long non-coding RNA (1662 nucleotides) under Oryzias javanicus (javanese ricefish). RNAcentral describes it as "lncRNA (ENSOJAG00000018521.1)". The record is from RNAcentral. Lineage: Eukaryota; Metazoa; Chordata; Actinopteri; Beloniformes; Adrianichthyidae.
UAAGGACUGGGAGUGACUCACAGGGCGGCAGUAACCAUAGCAACCACAGCAUGAGUUCCCGGUCAGCCUCCGCCCUUACGCCCAUCAGCAGAGCCUCUACUGCUCCAAAACGCUUCCAUUUCCUUCGCAGUAAAAGUCAAGAUAAGCUCCUCCCAUCCCGCUCCUCCUCCUCCCUCUUCCUCCCAGCAUUCCCUCUCUCUCAGCAGACGGCUGCGGUUUUGGUCUUCCUCCGACAUCUCGACCGGCGUCGUAACAAACCCGCCAUCCAACGGAGUUUUGUAAUGCCCCCACCUUCAUCCUCUCUAACUCCUCUUCAUCACAGACACACAGGCUGUACACACACUAACUGUUUUCCUCGUAAGUAGAGUGAAGACGAGCUUCAUGGUCAGUGUGCAACUGCGUGCUCUCGUUGUUGCUGCCGCGCUCGUCAGCCCGCCCGGCCACCUCUCUCCAAAUGUUUGUUUUUUGUGCGCGUGUUUUCUCAGCUGCUUUGCUUCCAAAGCAGGUUUCUCUGCGGUUGCCGUGGUAACCACAGCACCGCCUGUCUGCCGCAGCUCUGCUUCACACGCCGGUUCCUCGUCUGGGACGGGAAGCCGGUUGGUGCUUCCUGUCUUCUUCAGCCUUUUGGUUGGGACAGCUCCAGUUCUGCUGAAGGAUUAGAAGUUCGGGGUGUGUGUGUGUGUGUAGUAGAUUACAUGGAAGGGUUUUCGCUGUAAUUCCCAGAAAAGAUGACUGUGGAAAGAAAACGGGCAAAGAAACAGGCAUAGCAGCAUAGAAAAGUAGAACGUAAACGUAACUUUAGAUCAUGGCGACAAAAUGGAUUUUUAAAACUUUUUAAAAGUUUAAAUAGAACUGAGGAGAUGUCCUUGUUGAAGGUUUGACUCUCUGGACGAGAAAGCUGAACGUUAUUGGGAGCUAUCGGGCUUCCUGCUUUUUCCUAGUGUUAAAAAUGUUCAAAAAUACACUUUUAUAAAGAUAAAACACAGUUAAAUCUAGUGUCCUAAUGUUUGAAAGCUUUAAUUUGUUAAAAAUGUUUUCAGUGUAACUCUAAAUCUUACAUUUCUGCUUUUACACGUGACUGAAGUGGGAAAGUUCUCGACCUGAAACUGCUCAGAGCUCUCCGAGCUGCUGUGAAGCCUCCUCGACUUCAAAAAAAACUUUGAAGACUUAAAGUUUGCUUUGCUUGCUGCUGAGGCUUGCUUGAAACUCCCACAAUGCAGCAGUGAUGCUGUGGGGAAUGGGUGUCCCAGCAUUACAGCUCUGAGCCAGAAUCCCCCCCAUGCUGGUGGAGUUUGUCUGCUCUGGGUUCCUGAUGCCAGAGCGGUCCGCAGCUGAACUCUGAGGUUUCCUUGAAAGCAGGAGGUCCUCAGAAGAUCAGACGUCAUGCAGAGUCGCUGUGCUUUUCUGUCAGCUUCUGCAUUCCUCAUGUUUCUGAUCAGUGUGGUGCCUCUGUUAAAGCACUUCCGCUUUUUCCCUACUCUACAGAUUUGACUGACAGGAGCCAGAGCCUCUAUCACAGCAGCACCCCCAGGAGCAGCAAUGAGAGCGUCAACGGAGACGAAGGUAACGUCUGGGAAGACGAAUGUGUUUAAGUUUCUGUAGCACCUUAAAAUACAUCCAAACAACACAAUGCAGCUGAAACGGCUGAGAUAGCAACAUUUU